UACGGAGGAUUCAAGCGUUAUCCGGAUUUAUUGGGUUUAAAGGGUGCGUAGGCGGUCGGAUAAGUUAGAGGUGAAAUCCCGAGGCUCAACUUCGGAAUUGCCUCUGAUACUGGUUUGCUAGCGAGUAGAUGCUGUAGGCGGAAUGUGUGGUGUAGCGGUGAAAUGCAUAGAGAUCACACAGAACACCGAUUGCGAAGGCAGCGUACCGGCGCCAGACUGACGCUGAGGCUCGAAAGCAUGGGUAGCGAACAGG
Molecule: ribosomal RNA, 253 nt
Filed under: uncultured Rikenellaceae bacterium
Lineage: Bacteria; Pseudomonadati; Bacteroidota; Bacteroidia; Bacteroidales; Rikenellaceae
Description: partial 16S ribosomal RNA
Rfam family: Bacterial small subunit ribosomal RNA
Source: RNAcentral